This 298-nucleotide ribosomal RNA is filed under the name uncultured bacterium. Its description in RNAcentral is "partial 16S ribosomal RNA". It matches the Rfam family "Bacterial small subunit ribosomal RNA", at positions 789 to 1084 of the family's 1533-position model. The record is from RNAcentral.
GGUAGUCCACGCUGUAAACGAUGGGUGCUAGGUGUCGGGGGUAUCGACCCCUCCGGUGCCGUCGCUAACGCAAUAAGCACCCCGCCUGGGGACUACGGCCGCAAGGCUAAAACUCAAAGGAAUUGACGGGGGCCCGCACAAGCAGCGGAGCGUGUGGUUUAAUUCGAUGCAACGCGAAGAACCUUACCCGGACUUGACAUGUAGGUGGUACCGAGGCGAAAGCUGAGGGACCCGCAAGGGAGCCUGCGCAGGUGCUGCACGGCUGUCGUCAGCUCGUGCCGUGAGGUGUUGGGUUAAG